This 5618-nucleotide long non-coding RNA is filed under the name Lynx pardinus (Iberian lynx). The record is from RNAcentral. Lineage: Eukaryota; Metazoa; Chordata; Mammalia; Carnivora; Felidae.
ACUGUAAUUCCAUGAAGGAAGGAAGUGGCGGGAAAGACGCAGCUAACUAUUGCUGUUUUUCUUUUUAAGAAUCCGCAGUUCAUAAUGGAGCUAACUGUACUGGCUGUCGGAAGGAGGAGAUUCUGAAGAUAGGGAGGUAAUAUUAUCUCUUUUAAGAGAAUACUUUCCUCUGUAAUCCUGAGCCUUUAUUACAUUUAAGAACUUUAUCUACCAGACAGCAAAGUCUUUAAAUGCGGGGUAUGGAACGAUCUGAUUUGCCCGUGCUGAGUUGUGAGCUGCCGCCCCCAGGGCUGCGGGCUGUGCCGGGAGAGCUGAGAAAUCUCAGCCAGGCAUACUCAGCACCCUUAAAAUAGCUUCUUUCUGAGAAUUAGAGCCGUGAUGGUGGCCUCCCCAGCGCAAGCAGACAUCAUUCUGGUUUGUGGCUGGUGUGCGUGCGUUCAGCGUGUUGCUUCGCCGUCUUCCGUGUUGCCUUCUCUGCAGGGCGAUAUACUGCCAGCCUCGACCAAACUCGGAGCGGGAGACUUGGCGGUUGACAAGUGGCUCCAGAGCUCUGCCAGGGAGCGAGCUGGGCCCAGCCUGGGCCGCUCCAGUGCAGGGGUGCGCGCGCGCGCACACACGCACACACGCGCACACACGCACACACACGCACACGGGUCCUGUUCCUCGUUCACCCCUUUCCGUCCCUUUGCAUUUUCCUCGUAAUCCCGGGCUACGGGUCACAUUUUCCUUUUCCUCUCACUAGGUUGGCUUGCUGCUUCCUCUGCAGCUGUUGCAGAAAUUCACACGGAAUGGAGGCCUGGGUUGUGUUCUGGAUGGUAUCUUUGAUAAUUGACCCGUGUGUUAUUUUUUGUCAUUCUCAAACAUCCAAUGUUAGGGUUAAAGGACGAAUCUAAGAUCCUCGAAGAACAAAAUUCGUGCUCGGUUUGUAUCAAUAAGAAAAGCUUCUGUCUUCUCGAGCCGGGUUGCCAUGUGGAAUAUGCAGGUGAAAUUAAAAACGGGGUAAAACCCUUUUAUGAAAGACCAGUGACUGUGUCUGAGAAUGUUUAUAUAGGCUUAAGUUGUGGAAUGGUAUUUCUAUCUGUUUUCUUUCCUUCUUAAGACAAACGAUACACUUUUCUAGUCACCAAAAAUAUCUACUUCCUGAAUUAUACCUAUGGAAGGAUAUUAAUGGGACAAUAAGGGGUUUCAUGGUGUCCGUCCGAUUAUAUAAUUAGGAAAUCGGUAAGCAGUGUGGUAGCUGAAAUCAAGUUCUCCCAUGAAAGGGGCUAGUGUGCAUUUAAAAAAAAAAAAAAAAAACCUGCAGAAAGAAGGCUCUUUAAUCUUUAAAUCGUACGAUGUAUUUGGUUAACACAACAAGAAAGGGAAGUAUACCAAUCUCAGAUUCUUGUAUUGAUGCCUAGGUAGAGGUUGUAAGCCAAGGAAGCCGUUAAAAUGCCGCCUGGAAAAAAAAUGGUGAUAUCAAAGUGAUUACUUGGAAAGCAGUUUACAUUUACAAAACGAUUCACUAUUAUGACCUUGACCAACUUUUACACUUCAGACACUCGGGUUAUUACUUCCGUUUUUAAAAUAUCAGUCUAUAGCUGGUGUGCAGAACGCAAGGGUAUUUUCGAAUUGACUAGGUCGUGCUGGUCGUCUUAAAAUCAGCUACAGUAUUACAAAGUUGAAAUGUAAUAUGUAUUAAUAGAAGGAAAAUAUAAAAUUUAAUAUCCGGGCAACGGAGACCUCUAAACCUACUUUAAAAGUAUAAUCUUGACAUCUAUGACACUAUUUUUUGUCUUUGUUAUAUGGGUAGAAUUAUGGAUGUUCUACAAUCCAGAUGUCUUAUUUAUUAAUGCUAAAUUUUAUUCUCCAUAACGGACAUUUGAAAUAAAAGGUGUAGGUGGGAGAGUCAGAUUUUGAGGCAUAGGCUAAUUUUUUACUAAGCAUUAGUACGGAGAAAAGCCGCCUUGAUUAAUGUAGGCCUGUGAAAGAGGGCAGGUGAAAGUGUUUUCAGCUGAAAUUUACUAAUGCAGCAACCAUUUAAAUUAAAUGUUUGUUAACAUAACAGCGAUGGCGUUUUCUCCUCCUCCUCCUUGUGGUUUUGUCCAACUAGAUGUUACAGUGGCAGUUGCACUGACUGUUAAGUGUUUAAAUGAUGACACCAUUAUGUGAAGUGAUUUUGAAAUGAGAGAUUUCAGCCAAGAAUUACAUCUGCUCCCAUCUCCUUCAAAUCAUACUCUCUGGCAGUACAGAUUAUGAUUGAUUUGUUUGUGACAGAUUGCAGGAAACAGUCAUUGAUUUUUCAAUAUUUUACCUUAAAAUUAUUUACAGUUGUAACCAUGGGGAGGUAUUUCCAUGGGCUGUCAGCCCUUGAAAGACUGGGAUAAUAUUCCCUGCUCUCUGACAAGACAAAUUACCUGUAAUGAGUGCAGUAGCUGAAGGGUAUACUUUUAUUUUAAAAUAUGUCAAUAACCCCAGUGACUAAACGAAUAUUGAUUUAGCAUAAUGAAGCCUGAGUAAUGUGAAAAUGAGCUUUUUCCAGGAGCCUGGUAAAGACUUUCUUUUUAGCUGGUUGUAAGAAGCUUUCCAUUCUUUUCAACGAGCUCGUGGAGAUAAGGAGUUUUCUAUGCAAACCUUCAGGAGUGAUAGUGUUUGUUUGUGAUAACAACCAGGGGCCAAAUAUUUUGCCCUUCCUCUUAUCGAUCCGUUUUUCACAUCUUAUUUGGAGUCUUACCUUUAGUCAUGGAAUUUGAUUUGCUUGAUCUUCUCUUUUACCCGACUUCGUAUUUUCACAGUUGCAACAUAUUUUGCAUUAGCACCUCCGGUACCGAAUAUUAAAAUAUAACUAUGUGUACAGUCAUUCGUGGAUGACAUAAUAAUUAUCUUAAGACAUUUCAAAUGGGUUAUUGUAGUAUUUAAUGUGCCGCAUUUUAUGGUAGAAUAAUUCCCAGUCCCUGGACAUCAGCUUGCUUUCAGUGGGAAUGAAGAUUAAUUUACUCAGGCAUCAGUGCAUAUUUUCGUUUUUGUCCGACUCCCCCCCCCUUUUUUUAAAUGGAAUUCUCAACUUUUUAUGGAUGAAGAUCCCAUUACAUGAGGUCUUUCAAACCAGCAAUAAUAGUAGAGAAGUAUAUAGCUGUAUCUUAUAGUCCAUCAAGGAGCCUGAAGACUGGGUGCCUGAAUAAGUAUCUUCAUAUCUAACUUGGUAAGGAGAAAAUAGGGUAAACAUUCCUGGUAAUACAUAGCGGAAAAGUCAGUACUUGAACAAGACGUCAAACUGAUACUCAUGGGAAUCCAAUGUAUUUUCGGAGAAUUAAUAGUAAUAGAAUCUUAUUAAAAGCAGUAGGCAAAGUCCCUUUAAAAAGUAGAAAUGAGUUCUGAUUGAAAGAAAAUUCAGAUGGCUCUUGGGGAGUGCUAGGAUGCCAUUGGAAAUGUUACAAUAAAAGGAAAAAUAUAAACAUCUCUUUCGAUGGAAAAAAGGAUGGACUCUGGAACAAAAAAUUAUCGUCGCCCCCCCCCCACCCCAAGAAUUUACCUAAGGGUGUGGAAAAGAGAUGAUCUUUGUCAUCUGUCUCAGUUUGCUCUACAGCAGACGCGAUGCUUUAGAAAAUACUCACCCCAUGGUUUCGGAUGCUGUAAGAUUGGAUUUCUCCAUCCCGGCCCCCCAAUUCUUUCCCUCUUUCUAUAAACAGACCUUGGAAAACAGAAAUGUGAGGGCUACACCAUCAUCAUAUAUGAAACUGGUAGCCCAAAUUCUUCAGUCACUAAUUUGCUCUGUACUUUUUUUGAAGUUGAUGUAGCAUCUGUUCAACUUACCCGUAGACAAGGCGAUGUCUAUAAGGUAUGCCUUCCAGAAAAAGAAAUGAAUGUAGAUUUUAUUUUUCCCUCAGUAAUUUUUUUUAAGGAAAGCGUUAUUUUUUUCAGACAAAUCGAGGCUAAGGAAAACAUCUAUAUUGUUGUUUAGUUUAUUUUGGAAUUAAAUAAUAAAGGUAUUGUAUUCAGCACCUCUUGACCCCAUCGUGUAGUUUAAACGUUGUGUUCAUCUUACAGUGUGUGGGUAUAGCUACUUACGUGAAUGAAGUUCUGAUAAAUAUGUAGAUAGAGUGGAGCUUUUUCUGGGGAAAUUACUCUCUUCUGGAUACUAGGCCCUUCUCCAUGUUUAUUUCCCUUGAAAAAAAAUACCCUGCCGUUGUUCUUCUUUAGGGAAAAAUUAUUUCCGUAGAGUGUUUUUAAAUCAUGCAAGUCAUUGCCUGGGGUUGGCUAAAACCUUUAUUUUUUGAAAGAUUUAAAAAAAAAAUCUUUCUCGUAUUUGUAUCUAUUAAGAUAAACAGUUUACUUUGCUACGGUGCAUACCAAUCUAUUUAGUUAAUUUUUUUUUUUCCAGAAUUCAGUUUGCCAUGUUUGGUCUGACCUUCUAUGAUAGCUUAAUGUAGGAACAAAUUAGCAUAUAAUUCUAUUUUCCAUGUGACCUCAACCAGUUGCAGAACCAUACCACCACUUUUGGAGGGCAAUUCGAUAGCAUACGUGGAGUGUAGCAUUAAGUGUUUGCAAAUGUCCAGCGCAUCCUGGCUAACGUGAUAUCGAAAAUGUCGAAGUUGGCAGUUAGAGGAAAUACUCACCCUUAUUACUAAGGUAUUAAAACGCCUCCUAAAGGUAGCAUAUUUAAAAAAAAUUUUUUUUAAUGUUUUUAUUUAUUUUUGAGACAGAGAGAGACAGAACACGAGCAGGGGAGGGUCAGAGAGAGAGAGGGAGACACAGAAUCCGAAGCAGGCUCCAGGCUCCGAGCCGUCAGCCCAGAGCCCGACGCGGGGCUCGAACUCACGGACGGUGAGAUCAUGCCCUGAGCCGAUGUCGGACGCUUAACCGACUGCGCCACCCAGGCGCCCCAAAGGUAGCGUUUUUUAACUAGUAUACAUAAUUGAUUAGCGAUUUGUCUUCUCCCAAGCACAAAGCAGNNNNNNNNNNNNNNNNNNNNNNNNNNNNNNUUUUUUAACAUUUAUUUAUUUUUGAGACAGAGAGAGACAGAACACGAGCAGGGGAGGGUCAGAGAGAGAGAGGGAGACACAGAAUCCGAAGCAGGCUCCAGGCUCCGAGCCGUCAGCCCAGAGCCCGACGCGGGGCUCGAACUCACGGACGGUGAGAUCAUGCCCUGAGCCGAUGUCGGACGCUUAACCGACUGCGCCACCCAGGCGCCCCAAAGGUAGCGUUUUUUAACUAGUAUACAUAAUUGAUUAGCGAUUUGUCUUCUCCCAAGCACAAAGCAGCAUGGCAAAGUUCAGUGCGGUGGGUGAAGUUUGGGAUACUAGACAUUGACAGGGACAAUGAUCAUGCCAACUAAAUGGAUUUUUUUUUUUUUCUUUUAGAUUCAGCUGUCGGUCUUUGAAAUUUCCUGUGGUCUGUUCAACCUGGAUGCAGAGGACAUGGAGCGAUCAAGUACGCAAGAGGUCCAAGCGUGUUUUGGAUGUUCCCCUUGAUAGACUGCAGUAUUUUUCCGGUUAAGACCCUCAGCUGUCCUGCAGAAGAAGGUUAUUCUCUUCUUGGUCCAUCCAGUUUACUUGAAAUGCUUAGUAUUGUAGAGUAUCACCAAACAGUUUCUGUUUUCAUCCAAGCAUAGAAAGAAUAAAAUCAAUUCUAUACGUUGA